RNAcentral lists this ribosomal RNA (546 nucleotides) under uncultured bacterium. RNAcentral describes it as "bacterial SSU rRNA". It matches the Rfam family "Bacterial small subunit ribosomal RNA", at positions 777 to 1321 of the family's 1533-position model. The record is from RNAcentral.
AAUAGAUACCCAGGUAGUCCACGCCGUAAACGAUGAGUGCUAAGUGUUGGGGGGUUUCCGCCCCUCAGUGCUGCAGCUAACGCAUUAAGCACUCCGCCUGGGGAGUACGGUCGCAAGACUGAAACUCAAAGGAAUUGACGGGGGCCCGCACAAGCGGUGGAGCAUGUGGUUUAAUUCGAAGCAACGCGAAGAACCUUACCAGGUCUUGACAUCCCGGUGACCACUAUGGAGACAUAGUUUCCCCUUCGGGGGCAACGGUGACAGGUGGUGCAUGGUUGUCGUCAGCUCGUGUCGUGAGAUGUUGGGUUAAGUCCCGCAACGAGCGCAACCCUUAUUCUUAGUUGCCAUCAUUCAGUUGGGCACUCUAAGGAGACUGCCGGUGAUAAACCGGAGGAAGGUGGGGAUGACGUCAAAUCAUCAUGCCCCUUAUGACCUGGGCUACACACGUGCUACAAUGGACGGUACAAACGGUUGCCAACCCGCGAGGGGGAGCUAAUCCGAUAAAACCGUUCUCAGUUCGGAUUGUAGGCUGCAACUCGCCUACAU